CGCAGUCUGCAACUCGACUGCACGAAGCUGGAAUCGCUAGUAAUCGCGGAUCAGCACGCCGCGGUGAAUACGUUCCCGGGCCUUGUACACACCGCCCGUCACACCAUGGAAGUCUGCAAUGCCCGAAGCCGGUGGCCUAACCACUUAUGUGGAAGGAGCCGUCUAAGGCAGGGCAGAUGACUGGGGUGAAGUCGUAACAAGGUACC
This 206-nucleotide ribosomal RNA is filed under the name uncultured bacterium. RNAcentral's name for it is "partial 16S ribosomal RNA". It matches the Rfam family "Bacterial small subunit ribosomal RNA", at positions 1299 to 1500 of the family's 1533-position model. The record is from RNAcentral.